CACGUGUUUGAUACAUAAUUAUUAAUGCUCUGCUAGGAAAGAUAACGAGCCACGACCGACUCGACAAACGAAAUUAACUAUACUACGCUGAGAGCCGUGAUAUAACUUUCAUUUCAUGAUUUCGCGUUAAAUUACGCGCAAUGGUAUAAAAAAUAUCGAAUAUUUUCGGAAGAUUGAAAAAUAAGAUUGGUAGAGGCACAUUUUCAACUAACGAAGGAAAAUAAAUAGCCGGAGUCCAUUAUGUUAAAACAAAAUAUUUAACGUUUGCCAGCGCUGAUAGCGUUGCUAAUGAUCAAAGUCGUUGAUAAGAAGAUUUGCUCGAUAUGAACAGAAGUUUGACAAGGUAAUUUGGCUUCUCAAAUGUAGAACAAUUUGAUAAGAUCUAUCAAAUUUUUCAGUGAAAAUGUUUAUCUUACGAAACGGUAAUAAUUGGAUUUAUCUGAUAAAAUAAGUAACUUUACCAAAGAGAUUUAAAAUUCUUUCGAACCUCCCCGCGUCUCACCAUGGUUUUAAGACAUCUCUCCUUUACUUUGUUCUGUCGUUUACUUAUAAAAUAACAAAACAAUAAAAACUUUGAAACUUUCGCAUAAAUUGAUUAAUACGAAGGAAGAUAAAUAAUGAUUUGCCGAAAUUUCGGCAGCCCACGCGCUCUCGAGUUUUCCUCGUGGUGAGUAUUACUCACGUGAUAAAUCGUUUGCCACCUCGCAUUUAUCUGAUUUCAUUGAAUGGACAAAAGUAAUCGUGUUCUCCACUCGUCCCAUAAGAAUCAUGUACUUGGAGCACACGAUGGUGGGGAAGAGAAAGAAAGGGGGGACUCCAUUCACCUUACUAAAACGUCACGCCAGGUGAGGUUUGACGAACGGACCGUUUCCAUUGCUCUCACUAUCGUUCGUUCAUUCGUACGCGAUGCUUCUUUUUUUUUUUUUUUUUUAGUCGAUUAGCAAAUUGAGAAUUAAUUUGUUUGGUCGAUAAGUCCGCACGUGGAAAUUAUUCACCGUUGAAAUUGAAAGCGAUCAGGCAAGGUCUUAAAGUUUUACGAUCGAUUUUAUAUUUCGUUUUCUGUUAAAUCGAUCGUACCGUUUUACAAAUUAUCAAAAAUUAGUUGAACUCUUGAGAUUUCAUGACCGUACUUUUCGUUUGGCUCGAAAACAAUUUUAUGAGUUUGCCAAUCGUUAGAGAUUGUUACGGGCGAAAAGAAAAGAUCUUUUAAAAGUUUUAAUAUCAUUCCAGAUGAAACGGUAGAGAUUCUUCGUGAAAGUAAAUGAUCCCUGAGAUCAAUUCAAUUGAACGUCGAGAUCAAAGACUGACGAAAAAUUAUAUUGCAGUAUGUAAUAAGCUUUCGUUAAAAUCUCUUUAUCGAUUAACCCAGAAAGUAAGAUAAUAUUUGAGGUAAAAGCUAAAAUGGCUCAAUAAUUGGAUAUGUACAAGUAUAAUUAAGAGAUUCGAUCUGAAAAAAGAUCGCGUUAAAUAUUUACUUUCUGUUCGUAUUACAUACAUAUUUCUUUUUUCUUUUUUUAAUAAAACUCGCUUAUGAGAAGCCAAAUAAUAAUCACCGCGCGGAUUACUUUUUAUUAAGAAAUUUUAAUCAUGUAUUUUCUCGUAAAAAUAGGUGUUUAUGAAGUACAUAAAUCGUUAUUAUGCAAUAUUAUCGGAUCACCUUUUAUUUUUAUUUCCAUCUUGUAAAUUAUAUUGCACCAUAAAUUUUUAGAUUUCAAUCGAUUCUUUUUACUUUAUUACACGCAUCUGCAUCAAUCAAUGACAACAAUUACAAUUCUUUUCACAAAUUUUUGUAACUUCGUUCCUUGCACGAUCUCUCUCCACAGAAAUUAUUUAAGAAGUUUCGCGUAAAAACGUUGAAUGUUGGAAAACCAACGCGUUCAAAUCUCUCGUAUAUUUGUCUGAUGUUCGUCACAAAAGAAAGCUAAUAAUUUAAUGAGAAUAUUUCCUGAAAAUUCUCUGGACAUCUUUUGGCUGGCAAUUUAUUGUUUGUUCGGAAAAAGUGUAACGCUUAUUGUUGAUCGACUGGAGAAAGAAAUAGGUCAGACGUUGGUUGCAAGUAGCAGACAGCAGAGUAGAGAAGUUGAAGCGUAAAGUACCGAAGCGAACAACCCGGCGAGCAACAUUUUAUCGUAACAUGUGCCAUUAAACGAAGUAAAUCUUUUUUAAACGUGACUUAUUUUCUCUUUCGGAACAUUAUUUUCCUCUCUGCUCAAUGCCAACUUUCGCAACUCGUUUCAAUCUCCAUACCAGCAAAGACAAUUCGACGAUAAAUUUCACGCAUCUCUGACCCGUCCCUCGAUAUCCGAAUAUUUCUCAUUUUUCAAAUUGAAUUCUGCAAUGAGAAUCUCUCGUGGUCAAAAAAUGAAACGUUAUCGCUAAUUUCUGUAACUUAAUUUCCUUCUGAGUGAUAAUUGUAACGAUAGAAGCUACGAUAAAUAUGGUACACAAAAAUCGACGAUGCAAAACUAGACUAUACUCGUCGCAGUCUGUUCUGGAUUGAAAUGAAUUCGUUCAAUCUGAUAGAGACGACAAGCAAAUUUUUCAUAAAACACAAUGAAAGUUCAAAAAUUGCAAUAUGUGGUACAUGAAUGGUACAUGAACAGGUUGAUUGCCGUGCAAAUUUCAUAUAUAUAUUUUUCUUUUUCUUAGGACCCGUGAUAGAUCGAAAUAUACCACAUCGUAACAUUUAAUUUUUGCGAAACGUUCUAUUUGCCUACUUUCCUUUGACAAUGUUAUCUAAAUCAUUCACAUUAUUAGAAAUUUAGUCCAUGAAAUUUAUUGCCAGUCCAUGGAAUUUAUCUUAUCUUAAUCAUUCUAAAAGAUUUAGUGACCUGGAUCACCGAUGGUCACCGUGGUAGUGAACGUGUUAAAAGCAUCAAUAAUUCUAAGAAGCAUCGACCAGGGAUAAACCCAGCGUGUUAGCGUAGUCGUUUAACUAGGCGUAGGUAGGUCGGACACGUGGGAAGCAGCUGGGUCCACGAAAUCAACAAUUUGCGAAUUCGAUUCCUUUCUGAAACGUUUAGCAACCAGACUGCCUGUCUCUUUCUCCUUCUCCGGUUCGAUCUUCACCGGAAGGCAUGAACUACAAACGAACAGGCUCUCUUGCCCGCGAACACGCGCGUCCAACCACACGCAGGUCGAACCUUACUCCACAUUCAUUAACAUUUAAAAAAAAAAAAGAAAAAAGAAAGAAAGAAAAAGAUCAUUCAAGCAAGGAACAGAUCAAGCGAGCAUGCGUCUGAAUGGCUGACAUCGAGUUCUCUGCGAGAUCUGUCAUUACGAGGAUUUAGAAUAAAGCUAGUUCGCGUAACCGUGAGUCUGUAUUACACAAUAAUCGAGUCCAUAAUGGUUGGUUCAGAAAGAAUGAUAAAUUUAGAUCGAUCGAGUGUCGUUCGGCGUGCUCCUUUUAAGAAUCUAUUCAACAAAGGAACUAUACAUCGUCUAUUGUACAGUGUCUAUUGGACGUAUAUUUUCUCAUUUAAAAAUACGCUUUCAGUCGUAAUUUAGAAAUACGAUACACCGCGCGUAUUAAUUGCUAAGAUGACUUGUAACAAACUCAAAAUUUCAUACUGUCUAAAGAAAUAGAGACUGCGGAUUUUUCUGCAAAUUCAUAUUUGUGAGAAUGUAACUUAAAAAGAGCAGAACCUCGCUAGAGAACUGUUUUACUUAUGAAAUAUUAAAAAAAGCACUGAUACCUUGAAUAUUUCGUAUAUCCUUUCAUACAACGCGCAUUCUGUGUAAUUUUGUAUUUUCAAAUUUCCUACGGAUGCAUAAAAAUUCGCAGUCUAGAUACAUACGUUUAAGAACACUUCAAAAGAUGGUUUUUCACUUUUUCAAAUAUUUCUUUCCGACUUGUUUCACUUGGGAACGUAAUACGGUGUAACUCGAGCUAAGCCAGCGAAUCACUCGCCGAUCGAAUUAUCAAUUCAGUCUCUUCUUCUUUAUCUUCUGGCUUCCUUUCCCGUGCUACAGUACGGAACGACGGAGUAUCGGACUAGUGGAUACUUUGAGGUAUUUUGCGGUUAGACCGUCCUUAGUUCAGGUAGUCGGGGUCUGUCAGUAUUUACCCGUCUGCGUUUACUCUUGCGACGUUAACGAGCAAAUGGAAGCGAAUGGGUAAACGGCAAGGUUUAAACGACAUUAAUCGAACACUUUAAGGGUACUUUAAUGUAUACAAUCUCGUACAUUCGCUUUUGCUUCAUUUUUCCAUUACGCGAAAGAAAAAGUGAUAUACACUUCAAAUGCUCAUUUUUAUAAAUUUAUAAACGUAAAGAGUGUGGCAACUUUUUAAUGAAGUUAAAUUAUAUUAAAUUACAUCGCGGAACAUUUUAUACCUCGCCCAAUCAGUUUCCAUUCUGCGAUCAUUUAUCACAAUUAUAUUCACGACUUGGCCGGGUAUAAAUAUAAUUUAUAUAAAUUUGAAACAUUAACACGCAUUACCUAUGUAUGUCCUUUAUUGCCUAUUCUCUCGUUGUCAGCAAUGUACACUCGUAUAAAUAUCUAAUGACAAAUAUAAUCCAUAAAUCCUAUGCAUCGAUUAUCGCUAUUGAAAAAUAACACGUGAUUAUGGUAGGAAGAAAUCUACGAUGGUUAAAAAUUUAUAUUCGUACUUUUCCACUUAUAUAAUUUUUUAUUUAUUAAUUUUGUAUUUGCGUAAUUUUUGUAGCCACGCGAAUGUACUAUACUAAAAAUGAUACGAAAUUUCACAUACCUGAAUCUAAUUAAUUAAUAUGUACUCGCGCUAUAACAAACACUAUGGUGUACGAAUAUUUCUUGUAGCCACUGUAUAUCGACACGAAGAAAUCACUAUUUGUUAUUAGAUUAACAGGCACAAGUACGCGUCCAGUUUCCUUCUAACCAGAUGGUCUGGCGCGUGUGCAACGCCUUUUACGCAUACGCGUUACGUAUGCACACGCGUGUAUUCCGUUUUACACGUGACGUUGGUUGAUCUCAGAAAGCCGCCGGCACGUUGGUAGAAGGGUAAAUAAGGCCGCUGAUUCGCCCAAGGGGAUCUAACUCUCUGGAUGGUGCAAUUCUGCCCUGAAGGCUCCGACAACCUACUCGAGACCGCUGACUCGCCUCGAACCUCCGAUCGGACUAAUGUGGCUCUUGUUCUGUCUCUUUUAAUACUUUAUUUUCCGACAGCCUGCACGCUGCAGAUACGCCUAUUUAUAAUCCUCCGUGUCGUUCCUCCAUGUAUUUUACUUUGUCGCGCGUUAUCUCGCAAGCAAAGGUCACAGUCGUUGUGUCAUCGAUUUUGAUAACAUUUUUCCCGAUGAAUCAUAUUUUGCCAUUUUCGUCAAUAUUUAUUAUUUCGGAAGAUAUUAAAAGCGAUCAGUCCAUAUUGUGGACACGAUAAAUUUCUAUUAAUUCGGAGUUCACGGGGCGGGCGAACGGACGUUGCUCGCUUUAAUAGCAUUUUUAUACACGACGAUGGAGAUCGUACACGAAUCGUAGAAAUUAUUCCGCCACGUUGUAGUUCCUAUCGUCAAAUUCAGAAAAGUCAACCAAAGUUUCACGAACCAGCGGCGAAUUAUGAAUCAGAGAAGAUGCAUCGAAGAUACGUUUUUUUUUAAGAACAUAAUUAGAUAUUCUUGGUACGCGCAAAAUUAAUACUCGAUAGGUCAAUUCUUUUUAAUGUCGACCAAGUAUGUCUGCCGGAUAAUGUGAUAAUAUUUUGUUGAAAAUACUUGUGUUUUUCGUGUUUCUACGAUAUGCAUCAUCCUGUACAUUUUAUUGAUAUAAUGUAACGAAAUGACAGUAAAUUUAAAGAGAAGAAAAAAGAUUAACAAAAAGGUGAAGGAAGAUAUAACAAAAUAAAAGAACAUGAAUAUAUAAGCACAUCCGCGGAAAACAAGUUACAAAAGGAAGAAAAUAUAAAGAAAGAAAAAGAAUUUAUUGAUCGUGAGAGAUUUGAAUUCGUGAUAGAGUAAUUCAAGAACCUAUCACUCUACCACAUUUUUUUCUUAUAAAAGAAUGUUUAUUUGCCACAUAAAUUACAAGAUCGUAGCAGUGUUUCGACUGCACAUUCGGUUGUUCGCAUGAUGCUAAAAAAGAAAUCCACAAGCACGUAAGCCAUUACAAUUCACUCUACAUUACCAAAGAAAAGUACGCAAAUAAACAUAUCAAUAUGAUGAACUCAUGGGUCGCACAGACUUACCACCUUCACUGUCACAGCUAUUUUCAUUCGUUCGUUAUCGUUGGCCGACGCGUUAUACAUAUUUAGUCGGUACAUUCCUCCGGUUUCGUAAUUGCUAUUUACAUAAUUUCAUUUUCGGUCGGGUGUAAUUUUGUGUUCGAUCUUCCUCUGCUCGGACGGUCAUGAUCUUUCCGUUUGUUUUUGGCUUUCUACGAUUUUUUGCCUGACUUCGGUUUGUCAAUUAGUCCUUCGGCUUAGCGAAUCGAAAGGGAACUCGAUAUUUCGAUGUUGGCAAUUAUCACGAUUCUCACAUUGUGGGACGUGGAAUGGGUACAGUGAGUCACGCUGACUGAAAGAGACGAAGCGAGGAUUUUCGACACAUAGGGCGUAGUGUAGCUAUCGUAUCUUUCUUUCUUGCGCAUUUACAUACGUAAAUUUAAAUAAAUUCCUUUCUUUUCUUUUUACGUGACGCGUUUGACAAUAAGAAAGUUCCGAAAAAGAACGAGCGAAGAGGAAGAAGAAAAUAAGGUACGAACGUCGAAGGUGUCGACGAUAAUUUGAAUGCAAAUCAUACGUUUCCCGCCCUGCAUUAUGCGCCAUUUGUCGCAAACGAACGAGGAGUUGUCGAAGAAGAAGACGUUAAUAUUGCAUAAUCACGUCGCGAAACGUAGAAUGAAAAAUGUCGAGGAUGAUUCCACGGGAUACGAUCUCCACGCAGCUUCGCACAUUUGCUUCGAGUUUUACGAGUCGUGCAAUUAGUGGGACAACUCGAGGCGUAUGGUAAAAAUCCGAGACGAAACGGUUAAAUUCGAUUGGUUCUGCUUGAUAAUGAAUCGUCAUUGACGACAAAUGUUGAGAAAAACGCUACUUAUUAAUCUUCCAUCGCGACGAUACGCGUGCGAGAAGCGUACCCUGUUAUGGACAAAGUAAGUGCCUACUUAUGAUUAAUGCCCUAUGCUGAAAUCAUUUUCGCGUUUUCAGCGGAUCUGCAUGCUUCUACGGAGCCGUUCGUGAUUUUAACACGAUCUGCAUUUUCUCCAAAAUUACGCGAAUACCUCCAGAAAAUACAAUUUCGCUAUUUCUCUGAAGGAUUUUUUAAAUUCGUUGGUCUCGCGAGAAACGUCACAACCGUAAUACACCGGAUCUUGAUCAAACUCUACAGACUCAUAGUCUGACCAAAAAUAUUCCUCACGUAUUUUUUCUUGCCGGCAAUGGCUCACAUCUCGAGCGUGAGAACAGCAGCCAAAUUUUAGGGUUGAAGACGUAUGUUUUAAAAUAUCUCGAGAAAUAUUAGAGGCAGAGGAAUUACGUCAACGAACGAAUUUUACGCCUUUUGAAAAAUUGACAUUACUGUAUAGAAAAACUAUAGAAAAAUUCGUUUAUAUAAAUAAUAUAUCAAAAACUAUAAUUUUUUCACUGUUGUUGCAGCGUAUUCGAACAGAAUGCUGUAGUUUCGUAUGAACAGAUAGAACUUCGUCAGUUAAUUUGGAGUGCAAUUUCAGACAGAAAAUGCCUAAUAAGUCUAUGCCCAUUCGCAGUCAGACCGCAGAGCGAUAUUGUACUUUACGCUGAAUGUACAUACAGCUGUAAAAAAAAAUGAAAUGGCGUUAUUCGCCAUCCGGUGCAUAAGAAAUGUUUACACACUGUCACGUCAGAUGAAACGAAAAGAGACACAUAACGCGUAACACCUGCAACAACUAACCCAGGUAACGUCAUCACGCGUGCAUCAGAUAAGCGAUAUUUCACUUGCGUAAUACGAGGCGUACACUCCUUAGCGAACAGCAGACCAUCGUCACGAGCUAUCGUUUGUCACGUUUUAGAUACCUCGUAUAUCGUUCAUCUACCCGCGCCAUGCGAUGUCCGAUGUACGUUGCAUAUCCUUUAAAGCCAUUUCUUAAUGAUAUCAUAGAACUGCCAUACGAUGCGUGACACGCGUGCGACAGACAGUGCAAAUUAAUAAGCACGCUUCUAUCCAAGACAGCAGAAUUGGCUAAGGUUUAAGCAACGCCACAAGCGAAACAUAGAGAUUUAACGAACAUUCAUGGAGGACGAUAAUUUUACAUAGAAUUCGUUGUGCCUCCUUGAAUUUUGCAACUUUGUUGCAUGGACAUUUUGAAAGAAAUGCAGCACAAUGGUUGAAAUUAAUUACUACCAAUUUUCAGUUCUUUUCGUUUGCGUAAAGGACAACGUUUCUUUUACGACAGUGUAAUUAGCUAACUGCAACAGUUUAUGAUUUGCGACACGUUUAUCGUCAUGUGUCUGGAAAACCAAACGUCUUACAGGUGUCCAGAUUCGUUACGUAGAAACUUACAUAGACCAAUUUCUAGAUCUGGACUCCUGAAUUUUUCUGAUGAUUCGAUUAAGAAUGCAAAAAAAAAAAAAAAAAGAAAACAUAGAACGCUUUGUACGAGAGGAUAAUCGCGAUACGUACGUGAUUCCUUGUUUCGUUUGAAAUUCGCGAUAAAAUCGAUCCUGUCGUAACAGCUGUACAUAUAUCCUUCGGCAAAUAUUAGAGUCAUCUUGCUGGAGGUCUUUUCGGAGGCCUAUGAGAGAGACCGCUCCCUCGUCUCGAGCUGUUGUGCAACGUGAUCCAAGAGUGAAAGAUCAUUGUCCCGCAUGAUCGUACAUAAACCUUGCAGCUCGUGUGCAAGUCGUGCACCCUAAUUAUGCGGGCAAGACCACCGUCAUACUUUGCGAAUUUUAUGAAGUACGAGUUAGUUUCUCGUGUGAAUACAUGGAAUCUUUUGCACAAUAGUUUAGUAAUUAAUAACAUCGACGGAUUCACGACACGACAAAUCGACAGGCUAUAGAUUACCGUUUUAAAAACAAUUCUUGCAAUUUUACAAUUGUUUCAUUCAGCCGAACGUGACAAUCGGCUGACUCGUGGCUCGCAAAAUCUUCGAGUCGCACGUUACUCUGCUUGUAAUUUGAUUAAUAAUAUCAGUUCAAUCGUACGAAAUAAUUGUUAUAAUUAACGUUUACUAUGACUGAACGACACGGUAAUUAAACGAUGUGUUGGAAGCUGUACGUACGUUGAUCGUACUCAACAAGCCGAACGCGAUAAAUGUUUCGCGCUCUGACAAGAAGAUCUGACGCAAAUAGAACUUCUUACGAAUAGCAAAAAAGAAGUACAAGAUCAAAGGUUAUAGCGUUCAGAUUCGAAAGAAAUCUGUCGAAACGUGCUUCGUUAAUGAUCGGAUUAAUAUUCAAGACACGUACAAAUUACGUGUUUACCCGUCUGAAACAUAUGAUCGAUCGAAUACAGCUGGCAGUUACAGUUAAAUGCGACACUCAUGACAUUACGGUGGAUUUCUACGUAUCGUAAUUUAUUUAAGAGAACGAGAGCGGAGGCAAAUCCGCGAACGCUCAACCAACGUAUCCUCGGGCUGUGGGUCGUAGAUCACUACGUGGGUCACGAAUCUCAAUGAAGUAGAACAUUUCAUCUGGUCUAAACAGUUGAACGGAUUACGUAUACCGGUUAGAGACAAUUCCCUCGUAUUUUACUUGACGAGCAUCUUUCAAUUUUCAAUCCAUCGAAGCGCGAGUGAAAGAAGAAUGCCGAAUACAUACCGAGACUGUUUAUCUGAAAAACGAAAUUUAUCAUUAAAGAAUAACUUAAUAAA
Molecule: long non-coding RNA, 9762 nt
Organism: Bombus pyrosoma
Lineage: Eukaryota; Metazoa; Arthropoda; Insecta; Hymenoptera; Apidae
Exons: 2
Source: RefSeq, a predicted model, not a curated record